This 497-nucleotide ribosomal RNA is filed under the name uncultured bacterium. Its description in RNAcentral is "partial 16S ribosomal RNA". It matches the Rfam family "Bacterial small subunit ribosomal RNA", at positions 28 to 507 of the family's 1533-position model. The record is from RNAcentral.
GAUGAACGCUGGCGGCGUGCCUAAUACAUGCAAGUCGAGCGAACGGACGAGAAGCUUGCUUUUCUGAUGUUAGCGGCGGACGGGUGAGUAACACGUGGAUAACCUACCUAUAAGACUGGGAUAACUUCGGGAAACCGGAGCUAAUACCGGAUAAUAUUUUGAACCGCAUGGUUCAAAAGUGAAAGACGGUCUUGCUGUCACUUAUAGAUGGAUCCGCGCUGCAUUAGCUAGUUGGUAAGGUAACGGCUUACCAAGGGAACGAGGCAUAGCCGACCUGAGGGGGUGAUCGGCCACACGGGAACUGAGACACGGUCCAAACUCCUACGGGAGGCAGCAGUAGGGAAUCUUCCGCAAUGGGCGAAAGCCUGACGGAGCAACGCCGCGUGAGUGAUGAAGGUCUUCGGAUCGUAAAACUCUGUUAUUAGGGAAGAACAUAUGUGUAAGUAACUGUGCACAUCUUGACGGUACCUAAUCAGAAAGCCACGGCUAACUACGUG